UGCCCCUCCCCACUCCGCCCCGCCCCGCUCCGCUGGUUCCCGGAAGUCACCGCGGACAAGCGCUCCCGGGCGCGGGCGGGGGUCGUGUGCUUGGAGGAAGCCGCGGAACCCCCAGCGUCCGUCCAUGGCGCGGAGCCUUGGGAGCUGGCUGGGUGGCUGCCUGCUGGUGUCAGCAUUGGGAAUGGUACCACCUCCCGAAAAUGUCAGAAUGAAUUCUGUUAAUUUCAAGAACAUUCUACAGUGGGAGUCACCUGCUUUUGCCAAAGGGAACCUGACUUUCACAGCUCAGUACCUAAGUUAUAGGAUAUUCCAAGAUAAAUGCAUGAGUACUACCUUGACGGAAUGUGAUUUCUCAAGUCUUUCCAAGUACGGUGACCACACCUUGAGAGUCAGGGCUGAAUUUGCAGAUGAGCAUUCAGACUGGGUAAACAUCACCUUCUGUCCUGUGGAUGACACCAUUAUUGGACCCCCUGGAAUGCAAGUAGAAGUACUUGCUGAUUCUUUACAUAUGCGUUUCUUAGCCCCUAAAAUUGAGAAUGAAUACGAAACUUGGACUAUGAAGAAUGUGUAUAACUCAUGGACUUAUAAUGUGCAAUACUGGAAAAACGGUACUGAUGAAAAGUUUCAAAUUACUCCCCAGUAUGACUUUGAGGUCCUCAGAAACCUGGAUCCAUGGACAACUUAUUGUGUUCAAGUUCGAGGGUUUCUUCCUGAUCGGAACAAAGCUGGGGAAUGGAGUGAGCCUGUCUGUGAGCAAACCACCAAUGACGAAACAGUCCCCUCCUGGAUGGUGGCUGGCAUCCUCAUGGCCUCGGUCCUCAUGGUCUGCCUGGCACUCCUCGGCUGCUUCGCCUUGCUGUGGUGCGUUUACAAGAAGACAAAGUACGCCUUCUCCCCUAGGAAUUCUCUUCCACAGCACCUGAAAGAGAGACAGGGUUUCGCCAUGUUGCCCAGGCGGGUCUUAAACUCCUAAGCUCAAGCGAUCCUCCCACCUCGGCCUCUGAAAGUGCUGGGAUUACGGGCAUGAGCCACCACGCCCGGCCCUUCAACUGUUAACCUGUAUUGAUCACCCACACUGCUCUCUGGCAUCAAUUUUUCCACUUCUCAGAAACACUUUGGCCCACAAAUUCCCAAAGGAACCUUGUUCUUCAUUCUGGAAAACAUGAUGCCAACAUAUCAGAAUAAAGGACAGAUAGGAGCUUUUGCUUCAAAGUGAAUCACUUCAUGGAUGUUAAAGUGUCCUGAAAGAUUCUAAACUUCACAACUUUUGAUAGUAACUGUACUAUAUUUGCAACAUAUUUGCAUAUAUUAAUUGUUAUAUCUGAAAAGCAUGAGAUUCCUGUUUCAUAAAAUUAAAUGAAGUAAGUUAAUAUUUUAUUGCUAGGUAUAAGAACUGCUGAUGAGGACAUCUAUAGAAGUAGAAAAUUCUAAAUGUCCUACCAUCACCAAUAAGAAACUUUUGACCAUCCCGUAGAUACAAUACAAUCACAUGGAAAACUGUAUACAAUAUAUUGUAUGUGAAGAUCCCAUGAAAAGAACAGGGACUGUAGGAAAUAUAAUCAUCUAAGCUACGGGUAAGAACAUCAAGAUUCUUUAAAGCAAUGGCACUCAAAAUGUGUUUCCUAGACCAGCAGCAUCAGGACCACAUGAAAGCUUAGGAAUGCAAACUCUCCAGCCCCACCUCAGGUCUACUGGCUCAGUAACUGUGAGGGAGAAGUCCGUAUUUUCAUCUAUGUUAUAACAGGUCCUUGGGUGACUCCAAUAAACAUUAAAGUUGGCAAACCAUUGCCUUUAAGGGUGCAUAAGGUGUUAAUUUAGUACAAAAUUUGCAGUUUCUGUGUUGUUGUGACUUUCUAUUUUUGCAGGAGUAGAAAAGUACCCCAUUGCAGUAGAGGUAAGUGAAUCCAAAACCCCAACAGCAACUGAAGAGGUUCUUUAUGACAGCUGGAACCUGCACUCCAGUUGCCCUUGCACGUUUGUGGUUUAACAGUCCCAGAGACAAAUCUGCCACUUCUGGCUUGCAUCCAACAAAAGUGCAGCUGUUCAUCAUUAGGAGAUGUUGGCUGAUGUACAUAGACAUGUAAGAAAGAUUCAAAGCAUCAUGGAUGGAUCACCAAUAACACCAGUAUAUGCAAGACCAGAGUAGAGUGUGUGAUCCAGGUCCUAGGAUUGACAAAUGAGGACUCAGUCCCUACUUGGGACGGUGUUUUAUUUUGACUUUUUUCUGAAACAGCAGAGAAGCUUACCAAAUAAUCACAAGGAGAUAAGAAAGUGUUUACACUUGUUUCAGUUGCUCUUCACUGGCUCCCUAUGACCAACACUCACAAUUCUAUGACCUUAGCAGUUGCACUGAGAAGUCAGAAGAACCUGCUAUCGUGGGUUCAUAAUCUUUUAUUACCUUUCACUGAGAAACAAUUUAUACUACUAAACAAGACAUAAGUUAUGAUGCUCAAGAUUUUAAGUGCCUUUUGAACUAAAAACAAGCAAAAAAAUUGUGACCUGCAUAUAAUGUAAAUGGUUUGUCUUCAAGUCAAAAGCCACAGGUUUACCUCUGCAGCUUUACUCUUUGCUAAACAUUGCUUUCGUGUAUUGCUUAUGCAUGCUUUCUGCAUCCCAAAAAGUAUAUAGAGAAUAACAGUUUAAGUCCUCCAGAUGAGUUACUACCUCUACUAUAUGUUUCAUCCUCAUUACGUGUUUCAUUGCUUAUUAAUAUCUGUGUUUUGUAGUGGACUUCAUGAGGACAGGUAAUGUUACCAACUGAAUUGUGUACCCCCAAAAUUCACAUGUUGAAACCCUAAUCCCCAAUGUGACUGUAUUUGAAAUAGGGCCUACAGCAGGUAAUUAAGGUUAAAUGAGGUCAUAAGGGUGGGGCCCUGAAUCGAUGAGAUUAGUGUCCUUAUAAGAAGAAACAGCAGAUACCUUGUUCUCUCCACCAUGAGGACACAGUGAGAAUGUAGCCAUCUGUGAGCAGGAAGGGAGGCCUCACCAGGAACCAAAUGAGCCAGAACCUUAAUCUUGAACUUCUCACCCUGCAGAACUGUGAGAAAAUAAAUUUCUGUUAUUUAA
Molecule: RNA transcript, 3066 nt
Organism: Pongo pygmaeus (Bornean orangutan)
Lineage: Eukaryota; Metazoa; Chordata; Mammalia; Primates; Hominidae
Gene: IL10RB
Gene name: interleukin 10 receptor subunit beta
Exons: 8
Source: RefSeq, a predicted model, not a curated record